AGUACACUCCUGCGGGAGGCAGCAGUGGGGAAUAUUGCACAAUGGGCGCAAGCCUGAUGCAGCCAUGCCGCGUGUAUGAAGAAGGCCUUCGGGUUGUAAAGUACUUUCAGCGGGGAGGAAGGCAAUACGGUUAAUAACCGUGUUGAUUGACGUUACCCGCAGAAGAAGCACCGGCUAACUCCGUGCCAGCAGCCGCGGUAAUACGGAGGGUGCAAGCGUUAAUCGGAAUUACUGGGCGUAAAGCGCACGCAGGCGGUCUGUCAAGUCGGAUGUGAAAUCCCCGGGCUCAACCUGGGAACUGCAUUCGAAACUGGCAGGCUUGAGUCUUGUAGAGGGGGGUAGAAUUCCAGGUGUAGCGGUGAAAUGCGUAGAGAUCUGGAGGAAUACCGGUGGCGAAGGCGGCCCCCUGGACAAAGACUGACGCUCAGGUGCGAAAGCGUGGGGAGCAAACAGGAUUAGAUACCCGUGUAGUCCCAUGAU
Molecule: ribosomal RNA, 480 nt
Filed under: uncultured organism
Description: partial 16S ribosomal RNA
Rfam family: Bacterial small subunit ribosomal RNA
Source: RNAcentral